Molecule: long non-coding RNA, 1575 nt
Organism: Gouania willdenowi (blunt-snouted clingfish)
Lineage: Eukaryota; Metazoa; Chordata; Actinopteri; Blenniiformes; Gobiesocidae
Source: Ensembl
GUCUGGCCUGAGGACACGUUGUCCACACGUGGAGACGACAAGUGAUGAUCAGAUAAAGAAAGAGUGUUUUCACUCUGACAUGUCGUCUCUGUUUGGUCUCAGGAGGAAGAGUUUAAGGAGGAAGAGUUUAAGGAGGAAGAGUUUAAGGAGGAAGAGUUUAAGGAGGAAGACUCUGGCUCUCCAUCCUCGUGGAUCAUCGACCCCAGUCCGACAACAAACAUGUUUUCCUUGUCCCAGUCCGAGCACAGUUCCCAUACAGACGAACGGGACAAAGAUUCAGCGGGAGGUGAGGGGCCCGAACACCGCGAGGUGCUGAGCGUGCUCGCCAAGCUGCAGCAGGAGACGCCACGUCAGGGCCAGGAGGGCCACAAGAGCCGGGAGGGCCACAACAGCCAGGAGGGCCACAACAGCCAGGAGGGCCACAACAGCCAGGAGGGCCACAAGAGUCAGGAGGGCCACAAGAGCCAGGAGGGCCACAAGAGUCAGGAGGGCCACAACAGCCAGGAGGGCCACAAGAGUCAGGAGGGCCACAAGAGUCAGGAGGGCCACAAGAGCCAGGAGGGCCACAAGAGCCAUGAGGGCCACAAGAGCCAGGAGGGCCGGGAACGCUCCAACUUUGAGGAUUUCGACUUUCUGUCCAAGUUUUGUAUCUUCAGCGGAGAGAAGUUAGCGGAGUACAGCAGAGUGUUCCAGACUGUGGACUUGGACCAGGACGGGUUCCUCUCUUUCCCACAGGUUUUAGAGGCACUUAAACGCAUCGUUCCAGCUGAGCUGCUGUCUGAUGAUGAACAGGUUUACGUCUACAGGAUCCUAGAGAUGGUUGACUUCAGGGUGAUGGAUGGACUGGUCGACCUCAGGCUGUUUGCCGUCAUCUCCAGCCUGGCUGAGAAGAUCUCAUCUAUGGAAUGGUCCUGUCUCCACAUGACUGUUCUUCAAUGUUCAUGUCUGUGUUCAACCACCUUCAGCUACAGUGGGGGUCCCCGCUCUCUGGGACCUUUAUUUUGGGGGUCGUGGCUUGAAAAGGUUGAGAACCACUGGUGUAGCGUCCAGAACUCAGACGGCAGCACAAAACGAGAGGACGUAAAUCAGGACAGCCUCAGCCUGGCUGAAAGGAAGCUCUCAGUCCAGACCUUGACCAACAGGACGUCCGUGGUCCUGUUGUGGUCCAGAGCCACAGACACUCAUAGGAGAUCACAGAUGCACAGAUUGUGGAAAAGGUGCUGAAAUGGGUGAAGAGUUGCAUAGAAGAGUGAAAAUAGGCUGGAAAUAUGAGGUUAAAAGUGACAAUAAUGGGUCAACAUAUGUGUCAUUAGGUAAAAAAGUGGUAGAAAGGUUUUUAUAAGUGCUGAAAAUGUCUGGAAAGUAGAAAAAAUGUGCAGAAAAGACAUUGAAAUGUGAUGGAGAAAUGUCAGAAAUGGGAGAAAUGUAGCAAAAAUACAUUAAAAGGAGCAAAAAUACAUUAAAAGGAGCAAAAAUAUGACAAGAAAAAGUGAUGAAAAUUGGUUAAAAUAUAGAAAGUUUGGUGUAGUUGCAGAAAAACGGUAAAAAUAAACAAAAAUUAGCUCAAAUUGUUCA